Chiloscyllium plagiosum (whitespotted bambooshark) is the source of this 918-nucleotide non-coding RNA. NCBI's taxonomy places the organism in Eukaryota, Metazoa, Chordata, Chondrichthyes, Orectolobiformes, Hemiscylliidae. The record is from RefSeq and is a predicted model, not a curated record.
AGGGUCGCUGCAUAAUCGCUUCCUUUUAUUCUUGGGGGGGGAAAAAAAGCUGACACUGCUUAACCGGGAAAAUGGUUUCAGGUGGCAUUCCCGCUAAACAGGAGUGACCCGAGCUGCGAGUUACAAACGGGAGACACACCGGUAAGGGCCUGGAAUAAAGAUGAAGGAGUUAAAGCCAUACUGUGUCUCUGAGUGUUUACUUUGACUGAUAAGGGAAUAGGAAACAGGAGGACACGAUCAAGUUUGCUAAGAAUCUUUGAGUGCGAGCAGCAGCAGAGGGAGGAUGAACUCAGAAGACUGCAGAUAAGGAUGCAAUCCCGGUGAUUCCUCCUGGUUUCUGCCUCCAGUUUGAUUUGAAUAGUUUUCUUCAAAAAGUUAAAAAAAAAAACUUUCCUCAUACUAUAGAAGAUCUGAGAAUUAAGUCCAAUCACAGUUUUAUCUCUUAUGAAUUCAGACUUAAAAUCUCCUAACUGCUUUCCUGCCAUGAUCCAGUAAAUUCUGGGCAAAUUAAUUUGCAUUAGAGAUGGACCACUAAGUGACGUUUGUAUUUCAGGGAAAUUCUGGCCUGGUGAACAUUCAAGGGGUUCAGCCAACCUCACUAUGGAAUGAGAAUCAUAGGACUAUAUUUUACAUUUUGUGCAAAGUAUUCCUGCCUUCAGCAACAACAUUAUAAUGCAAAAAUAGUCUGCAACAUAUUUCCUGAUUUUACUAUUUCAUGCAUUAUUUGUUGCUGCAAUGCAUAUAUUGAGUUUGUGCAAGAUGUACUCUUUGCUAUUGAUUGUAUUGAAUGAAUGACUCAAUCCAAGUCAAACAUGUCAAGGUCUUUUCGAAUGCUGAAUAUUAGAUCAUAUUAAUGCAGUUGUCAGAAAUCAACAAAAUAAAAAAAACUAUUCUCAGAUGAACUUGCAAUUGUGCCUG